UGUUAAUGACGUCACUGACCUCAUUAGGACUAGAAUAUAGUUUCUUCUGGGGGAAAAAAUGGUGCUACGCUUCAAAUUCUGUUAAAUAAGGAACACGAGUAAAGGAACGCCAGAUAAAGAAAGGUUCCAGAAGAGAGGGGAGAUGUCAGAAAAACUGGUUCUGUCACUUGUGCUGUUGAUCCUGGGACAUCUGCAGCUUUCAGUGGAGCAAAAAUCCCAUCCUGAUUUGCACCCCUUGCUGAAAAAAUCACUGGAUGAGUUCUUGGCUGGGAAAUACCUUCAAG
Long non-coding RNA from Acipenser ruthenus (sterlet), 284 nucleotides. RefSeq lists it as uncharacterized. The record is from RefSeq and is a predicted model, not a curated record. The transcript has 4 exons. NCBI's taxonomy places the organism in Eukaryota, Metazoa, Chordata, Actinopteri, Acipenseriformes, Acipenseridae.